Molecule: RNase P RNA, 292 nt
Filed under: Hadesarchaea archaeon
Lineage: Archaea; Methanobacteriati; Hadarchaeota (SeqCode); Hadarchaeia (SeqCode)
Also listed under: 1 other name
Description: RNase P RNA component
Rfam family: Archaeal RNase P
About the family: Ribonuclease P (RNase P) is a ubiquitous endoribonuclease, found in archaea, bacteria and eukarya as well as chloroplasts and mitochondria. Its best characterised activity is the generation of mature 5'-ends of tRNAs by cleaving the 5'-leader elements of precursor-tRNAs.
Source: RNAcentral
GCGAGCUGGCGGGCGACUGCCGGGCGAAAGCCUGAGGAAACACCGUCCACCGGGUGGGAUCGCAGCCCGAAAGGGCACGGCUGAGAAGCCGGGAAAGCCAGCACAGAAACGACACCCUGACUGUCCUAAUGUGAUGAUGCGGAGACGCUGAAGUCGGACAGUCGGGGAUGAAACGGCUGGCUCUGCGAGGUGCAAGGGCAAAUUUCCGUCGAUGAAUACCCACCUGAGACGGGUGGUAGCCCGCUUAGCUGAAUGUCGCCUGAAAACAGAAGACGGGUUACAGCCAGCACGC